This 254-nucleotide ribosomal RNA is filed under the name uncultured bacterium. RNAcentral describes it as "partial 16S ribosomal RNA". It matches the Rfam family "Bacterial small subunit ribosomal RNA", at positions 524 to 776 of the family's 1533-position model. The record is from RNAcentral.
CACGUAGGGUGCGAGCGUUGUCCGGAAUUAUUGGGCGUAAAGAGCUCGUAGGCGGUGUGUCGCGUCGGCCGUGAAAACCUGCAGCUUAACUGUGGGCGUGCGGUCGAUACGGGCAUCACUGGAGUUCGGCAGGGGAGACUGGAAUUCCUGGUGUAGCGGUGAAAUGCGCAGAUAUCAGGAGGAGCACCGGUGGCGAAGGCGGGUCUCUGGGCCGAUACUGACGCUGAGGAGCGAAAGCGUGGGGAGCGAACAGG